Molecule: ribosomal RNA, 836 nt
Filed under: Heterotextus miltinus
Lineage: Eukaryota; Fungi; Basidiomycota; Dacrymycetes; Dacrymycetales; Dacrymycetaceae
Description: eukaryotic LSU rRNA
Rfam family: Eukaryotic large subunit ribosomal RNA
Source: RNAcentral
AGGAUUCCCCUAGUAACUGCGAGUGAAGCGGGAAAAGCUCAAAUUUAAAAUCUGGCGCAAGCCCGAGUUGUAACCUAGAGAAGUGUUUUCGGCCAUUGACUUGGACAAGUCCCUUGGAACAGGGCGUCAUAGAGGGUGAGAAUCCCGUACUUGCCAAGCUCCCAAUGUCUAUGUGAUACGCUCUCGAAGAGUCGAGUUGUUUGGGAAUGCAGCUCAAAAUGGGUGGUAAAUUCCAUCUAAAGCUAAAUAUUGGCGAGAGACCGAUAGCGAACAAGUACCGUGAGGGAAAGAUGAAAAGCACUUUGGAAAGAGAGUUAAACAGUACGUGAAAUUGUUAAAAGGGAAGCGCUUGAAGUCAGUCGCGUCUUCAGGGACUCAGCCUUAACCGGUGCAUUUCCUUGUCGACGGGCCAACAUCGAUUUUGACCGUGGAAAAAAGACUUGGGGAAGGUGGCAGCCUCGGCUGUGUUAUAGCCUCUUGUCAUACGCCACGGUUGGGAUCGAGGACUGCGGCUUUUGCCUAGGAUGUUGGCGUAAUGGCUUUAAGCGACCCGUCUUGAAACACGGACCAAGGAGUCUAACAUGUCUGCGAGUUUUUGGGUGUUAAACCCAUGAGCGCAAUGAAAGUAAAUGUAGGUGGGAAGCCUCGGCUGCACCAUCGACCGAUCCGGAUCUCUUGUGAUGGAUUUGAGUAAGAGCAUAUAUGUUGGGACCCGAAAGAUGGUGAACUAUGCCUGAAUAGGGCGAAGCCAGAGGAAACUCUGGUGGAGGCUCGUAGCGAUUCUGACGUGCAAAUCGAUCGUCAAAUUUGGGUAUAGGGGCGAAAGACUAAUCGAA